CCAUUCAAUCCCCAGCGUCCUUCUUCAGCAUGAUCUGGUUCUCCCCUGGAUGACCUAGCUGGAGAUGCUGCUAUGGCCAUGUGAGCCCUGGCUAGCUAUUCCUAUUGGUGGGGCGUCCUGCUCCUCUGGGGCCUGGGACCAACACUACUCUUUUUAACCCCUACCUUUAGUGUUUCAAGUAAGUAUGGAUCCCAAGACGGAAGAGUGGUUAGGACUAGGCAAUGGGGGCAAGGUGACUUGCCCAGGGUCACACAGCUAGGGCCAACAUUAUUUUUGCUGUCUCCCCCAGCUUGCCUCAGGUCCAAGGCACCACCUGCUAAGCUCACACUCUUGGGAUCUGGCCUGUCCCCAGGUCUACAGUUGGUAUAAACUAGAUAAAUGGUAGCUAGUGUUAGUGUUGUUCUUGGGGGACAGAUUUUCCCUGUGGGCUUUAAGCCUUGCCUCCUUCCUCUCUUGGCUUUCUCUGGGAUUUUGAGCCUUUUACUAGAAAGGCCUAUUCCCUAGUAUUGCCUAACUGGGUCUCAAAUUCACCCUGCUGACCUCAGGCCCUCCCAUAGUGCUUUUCUGUGGACAGACAUCCUUCUGUUGUGUCAACCUUAGAGUGGGAAUGCGAGCUGUUGUAAUAAAAAUGAUUUUUGGUCUCAGAAAAUUUCUCCCUUGUGACAAGCAUUGCCCCUCCCUAAAUCUCUCCUCUCCUGUUUGUAUGCCUAAGAAUACUCUCAAUUCAAUCUCAGCCAACUAGUAUUUGAGUGUAAAUGCAAGGCACUCUGACCCAUUCCCAUGAUCAGAUCUGCCCUGGGCAGUUCUGGGCAGUCUGGGUCUGUUCUUUGGUCUGUUCCUGUGGUCAGGUCUAUCUUGGUUGGUUAAUGGGCAGUUAGUGUUAGAGGUUAGUAGCCAGGUUUCCUUCUAGUGUCUAUUACCCACUCCCACAAAUCUCCCUACCAUAUGUCUAGUGUCUCAGCUAAUGUGCUCCGAUUCUUCAGACUCUCUAUGGUUUACCCACAUGCUCUCUUACUUGCCUUAAACCUAAAGAGACUUCUUUCUCUUCUGAGGCCGGCAGCUCUCCUUGGUCCUCCUCUUGAUUUCUUUUCCUGUCAGCUGACAUCCUCUGUUCAUCUUCCUAGUUCCAACAGCUGCUCCACCUUUCCCCUUCUUUGUUUGCAGGGGAAGUUCUUCUGCUUCUCAGAAACCAUCUGGAGAGGUGUCCACUCCCUACCCAUUACCCCUCAUUCUUCUAAAACAGGAUUUCUCAACCCUCAUUGAGUCAAAAGUGCAAUUAAGGACCUUGAAGGGAGAGGAGAUCUGUCUCUAUACCCUCCAAGGGUCUUGGAGAUCCCAACAGGAGAGAGUCUCAGUAACUGCAUGCACUGUGUGCCUCUAAGGGUUAUUUGUCACAACUGAUGAUUGCUUUCUUGUUCUCUAGAUAAUCAUCAGAAGCUCUAGGCACUUUGCUCUGGGACCCAGUGAGCUCAGGAUGAUCCAGAAUUUCAUCAUAUCAGUGUCUAACUAGCAGGGACUAGUUUUGGCCACUCACUCCCCUUCCCAGUUUGUGAAUCACAGGGAAGUCCAUUCUGCUGUUGCUCCUAGAAAGGCUCAUUUCACAGAUGAAGGAACUGAGGCAAACAGAGUUGAGUAAAUUAUUUGUCUAGAGUCACAUAGCCAAUGUUUCGGAAAUCAUCCUGCUCAUCAUUUCCUAAGGCACGACAUAUUCCAUCACAAUCCUCGAAGCACAAUGUGUUCAACCAUUCCCCAGUUGAUGGGCAUCUCCUCGAUUUCCACUUUUUUGUUACCACAGAAAGGAUUAGAAUAAAUUAGAAUAAAUCUUUGUGUACAUAGAUAUCUUUCUUCCUUCUUCUCGGUCUCUUUGGGAUACAAACCUAGUAGUGGUAUUGCAGUCAGGCUCUUUUUUUUUUUUUCAAAUUCUUGUGUUCAUUAAACUCACACCCUGGUAUGUUGGGAAAGAUGUACUUAAAGCUUAGGUUUUAUCUCAUGUCCAUGGUCUUCCCAGAGUCUAGAGAGGUACUGUGGUACAUGGUACAAUGUCAAUGAGAUAGAGAGCAGGUAUUUAUUUCCUACACACAAAACAAAUGCUUAACAUAAAAGGGUGUCAAAAGUAUACACUGUCAGAGAAGGAUAAAUACACUUAAAAUAGAAGUAGUAACUAUUGUUAUAAUCUGCUGGAAGGUUGAGUAAAAUCACCAAAAUAAAAAUCAUUUGCCAGGACUGAUGAAUACAUACUUAUUGUUUCACCCUGGUUCUGUACUUUCUUCCUCAUGGUAUAUGUCCAUUGAAAAGCCAGCCCAGAGAUUAGAUUCAUUUACCAGACCGAGACUAGUUUUUCUUUCUUUCUUUCUUUCUUUCUUUCUUUCUUUCUUUCUUUCUUUCUUUCUUUCUUUCUUUCUUUCUUUCUUUCUUUCUUUCUUUCUU
This is a non-coding RNA of Monodelphis domestica (gray short-tailed opossum), 2427 nucleotides long. The record is from RefSeq and is a predicted model, not a curated record. Lineage: Eukaryota; Metazoa; Chordata; Mammalia; Didelphimorphia; Didelphidae.